Long non-coding RNA from Centruroides sculpturatus (bark scorpion), 973 nucleotides. RefSeq lists it as uncharacterized. The transcript is spliced from 4 exons. Lineage: Eukaryota; Metazoa; Arthropoda; Arachnida; Scorpiones; Buthidae. The record is from RefSeq and is a predicted model, not a curated record.
AAUAAGAAAGUAUUAGAAAAAAAUCUACAUCUAGUUAAACUUAAAAAAGAAGAAUUUAAUUUGUCUUGCAUCUGAUAAAAAAAAAGGGGGAAAAAAAUAUGUACUGUGUUAGUAGAAAGUUAGUUGUUGGAGAAAGAAGACGACGUUGGUUAUAAUGUAAAUCAGCAGGAGCUUCUAAUGGAUGCAAAGUGACAAUGAUGAAUGGGUGUCCAUAUCUGGAGAUAGCAUUUCCAUCCGCAGACACGCCCGCUGGCCUCGCUACACAAAAAGACACCACACCAAUUGCUUUUUCUUGAUGAUGUUUCUCUAUCCUUCGGAUUUACUCUAUAUUAAAGUACUUUGAUCCGAAAGGUGUUGUGAAGCCACAAGUGGAUGAGGAAAUAAUUGAGGCGACAUUGAGGGGGCAGAGAGGGUGCUGUCUCCGUGAAAGAUAUCUAUGAGACAUGUAGUCUUGGCCAACGUUUUGGAACCGGUUAGCCUGUGGAAGAAGUCGCAUUGCUUGCAGGUGCGUUGUCUCGUUUCUCACCUACUCUCUGGACCAUGAAGAUCUCUUACAAUGUCAAGUAUCGUGUGAUACGGACUUUACAGUACAUAAACUUAUGUGAAAGAAGCCUCACAAGUCCAUGAUUGCGUAAGGUUCUCACAGAUUAAAACUGCACUAGAUUUUUAUCGAAGAUCAUCAAACCGUUCAUCCAGAUUUGUAAAAAAUAAACUAGGAAGGGUGUGUGACAAAGAAGAAACAAGCUAACCUUGAAAAAUCAAAGGACAAUUUCUUCCUCCAUACAAUUAAUGAGUAGGGUUUAUAAUGAAUGACUCACUAAAAAAAGGGAUUUUCCCUUUUUCCUAUAUGACCAUCAAAUAAUUAUUAUCCUUUGUAAAAGGGGAAGACUUAUCAUUACUUAACUGCUUAAUUUAAGCAAACGAGCAUCGUGCGAUCAGGGAAAAUACACUCUAUAAGGAAGUCCCCAAACAU